This 571-nucleotide ribosomal RNA is filed under the name uncultured Cenococcum. RNAcentral's name for it is "eukaryotic LSU rRNA". The stretch from base 209 to 362 matches the Rfam family "5.8S ribosomal RNA". Lineage: Eukaryota; Fungi; Ascomycota; Dothideomycetes; Gloniales; Gloniaceae. The record is from RNAcentral.
CUUGGUCAUUUAGAGGAAGUAAAAGUCGUAACAAGGUUUCCGUAGGUGAACCUGCGGAAGGAUCAUUACAGAAAGUAAACGCGGAUCAAACCGCGAACUUCUAAACCUUUGACGGUUGACUCAUGUUGCCUCGGCGGGUUCUCCCGCCAGAGGAUACAUCAAAACUCCUGUUUUAACGGUGUUGUCUGAGCUACAAGCAACGAAUCAAAACUUUCAACAACGGAUCUCUUGGUUCUGGCAUCGAUGAAGAACGCAGCGAAAUGCGAUAAGUAGUGUGAAUUGCAGAAUUCAGUGAAUCAUCGAAUCUUUGAACGCACAUUGCGCCCCUUGGUAUCCCGAGGGGCAUGCCUGUUCGAGCGUCAUUUCACCACUCAAGCCUGGCUUGGUGUUGGGCGACGUCCCCUUUAGGGACGCGCCUCGAAACGCUCGGCGGCGUGGCACCGGCUUUAAGCGUAGCAGAAUCUUUCGCUUUGAAAGUCGGGGCCCCGUCUGCCGGAAGACCUACUCGCAAGGUUGACCUCGGAUCAGGCAGGGAUACCCGCUGAACUUAAGCAUAUCAAUAAGCGGAGGA